RNAcentral lists this transfer RNA (87 nucleotides) under Alphaproteobacteria bacterium. RNAcentral describes it as "tRNA-Tyr". It matches the Rfam family "tRNA". Rfam says of the family: Transfer RNA (tRNA) molecules are approximately 80 nucleotides in length. Their secondary structure includes four short double-helical elements and three loops (D, anti-codon, and T loops). Lineage: Bacteria; Pseudomonadati; Pseudomonadota; Alphaproteobacteria. The record is from RNAcentral.
GGACAGGUGGCCGAGUGGUUAAAGGCAGCAGACUGUAAAUCUGCCCGGGUUGCCCGUACGUUGGUUCGAAUCCAACCCUGUCCACCA